RNAcentral lists this ribosomal RNA (204 nucleotides) under uncultured bacterium. Its description in RNAcentral is "partial 16S ribosomal RNA". It matches the Rfam family "Bacterial small subunit ribosomal RNA", at positions 568 to 774 of the family's 1533-position model. The record is from RNAcentral.
UGCGUAGGCGGGUUUCUAAGUCAGAGGUGAAAGCCUGGAGCUCAACUCCAGAACUGCCUUUGAUACUGGAAGUCUUGAGUAUGGCAGAGGUGAGUGGAACUGCGAGUGUAGAGGUGAAAUUCGUAGAUAUUCGCAAGAACACCAGUGGCGAAGGCGGCUCACUGGGCCAUUACUGACGCUGAGGCAAGACUGGGGAGGCGAACA